AUAGAGGCAGGCAAAUCCGCCUUUAGAGCCGAACCUGACAGUAUCUUCCCUCCUUCGGGAGGUAGGAAUAGCGCCGGUAACCAUACUCCCGAGAAAAUCCGCUAAGCUCAACCCCAUGGCAACCCGUACCGCAAACCGACACAGGUAGACGGGUAGAACAUACUAAGGCGUUGGAAGAUUCAUGGUUAAGGAACUAGGCAAACUGACCCUGUAACUUCGGGAUAAAGGGUCCUCACAGCGAUGUGAGGCGCAGAGAAUAGGUCCAGGCAACUGUUUAACAAAAACACAGGGCUGUGCAAACACGAAAGUUGAAGUAUACAGCCUGACACCUGCCCGGUGCCGGAAGGUUAAGAGGAGACGUCAUCCCUUUGGGUGCAGCGUUGAAUUGAAGCCCCGGUAAACGGCGGCCGUAACGAUAACGGUCCUAAGGUAGCGAAAUUCCUUGUCGGGUAAGUUCCGACCUGCACGAAUGGUGUAAUGAUCCGGACGCUGUCUCAACCAUGAUUCCAGUGAAAUUGUAGUAUCGGUGAAGAUGCCGAUUACCCGCGAUGGGACGAAAAGACCCCGUGAACCUUUACUGCAGCUUAGCAUUGACCUUGGUCAUCCGAUGUGUAGGAUAGGCCGGAGGCUUUGAAGCGCGGGCGCCAGUCCGUGUGGAGCCAUCCUUGAAAUACGGCCCUUUGGCUGUCUGAGGUCUAACGCGCGAUGUGCGGACACUGCUUGGCGGGCAGUUUGACUGGGGUGGGCGCCUCCAAAAACGUAACGGAGGCUUCCAAAGGUGCCCUCGGGCCGAUUGGUAACCGGCCUUACAGAGUGCAAUGGCAUAAGGGCGCUUGACUGGGAGGCAGACAUGCCGAUCAGGCAGGAAACUGGGGCAUAGUGAUCCGGUGCAAGUGUAUGGAAACUGCAUCGCUCAAAGGAUAAAAGGUACUCCGGGGAUAACAGGCUGAUCCCCCCCAAGAGCUCAUAUCGACGGGGUGCUUUGGCACCUCGAUGUCGGCUCGUCACAUCCUGGGGCUGGAGAAGGUCCCAAGGGUUGGGCUGUUCGCCCAUUAAAGUGGCACGCGAGCUGGGUUCAGAACGUCGUGAGACAGUUCGGUCUCUAUCUAUCGUGGGCGCAGGAGUUUUGCGCGGUGCCGUCACUAGUACGAGAGGACCGUGAUGGACAGACCUCCGGUCUACCGGUUGUGCCGCCAGGCGCACCGCCGGGUAGCCGAGUCUGGAUGGGAUAAGCGCUGAAAGCAUCUAAGUGCGAAGCCCGCCGCAAGAUUAGAACUCCCCAUUAGGGUCGUCCUAGACGAGGACGUUGAUAGGGCGCAGGUGUAAAGGCGGCGACGCCAAAGCCGAGCGCUACUAAUUGCUCA
This 1364-nucleotide ribosomal RNA is filed under the name metagenome. RNAcentral's name for it is "bacterial LSU rRNA". It matches the Rfam family "Bacterial large subunit ribosomal RNA", at positions 1526 to 2911 of the family's 2925-position model. The record is from RNAcentral.